This 715-nucleotide ribosomal RNA is filed under the name uncultured Tomentellopsis. RNAcentral describes it as "eukaryotic LSU rRNA". The stretch from base 283 to 436 matches the Rfam family "5.8S ribosomal RNA". Lineage: Eukaryota; Fungi; Basidiomycota; Agaricomycetes; Thelephorales; Thelephoraceae. The record is from RNAcentral.
UCUUGGUCAUUUAGAGGAAGUAAAAGUCGUAACAAGGUUUCCGUAGGUGAACCUGCGGAAGGAUCAUUAAUGAAAUGUUUGUCGAGAAGGGUUGUAGCUGGCCUCCAGGGGCAUGUGCACACCCUGAUCACAUCCACCUCCCACACCUGUGCACCGCCUGUAGCUUGGGAUGAUCACGGAGCCCUGAUGGGCAACGAAUGCCCUCGUCUAUGAAUAUUUUCACACACGCUCAAAGUAUGACAGAAUGUAUAUCAUAUUGCGUCUGAUAAACGUGACAAAUACAACUUUCAACAACGGAUCUCUUGGCUCUCGCAUCGAUGAAGAACGCAGCGAAAUGCGAUAAGUAAUGUGAAUUGCAGAAUUCASUGAAUCAUCGAAUCUUUGAACGCACCUUGCGCUCCUUGGUAUUCCGAGGAGCAUGCCUGUUUGAGUGUCAUGAAAUUCUCAACUGCCCCAGGCUUUGUGGCCUGCAGGYGAAGUUGGACUUGGAGGUAUGCUGGCGCCAUGAAUGGGCUUUGUGCCCUGCCUUGCUUGUUGGCUCCUCUCGAAUGCAUGAGCUUUCCAAUCCUUGGCAAAGUAUCGUCGAUGUGAUAAUUGUCUACGUCGCCCGAGAAAGCCGAAAAGGGGAAAUCUUUGAUCACGCUGGGGUGACCCGUGUCUGACAAAUUCGACCUCAAAUCAGGUAGGACUACCCGCUGAACUUAAGCAUAUCAUA